GACGAACGCUGGCGGCGUGCUUAACACAUGCAAGUCGAACGAAGAGCGACGGAAGCUUGCUUCUAUCAAUCUUAGUGGCGAACGGGUGAGUAACGCGUAAUCAACCUGCCCUUCAGAGGGGGACAACAGUUGGAAACGACUGCUAAUACCGCAUACGAUCUAAUCUCGGCAUCGAGGAUGGAUGAAAGGUGGCCUCUACAUGUAAGCUAUCACUGAAGGAGGGGAUUGCGUCUGAUUAGCUAGUUGGAGGGGUAACGGCCCACCAAGGCGAUGAUCAGUAGCCGGUCUGAGAGGAUGAACGGCCACAUUGGGACUGAGACACGGCCCAGACUCCUACGGGAGGCAACAGUGGGGAAUCUUCCGCAAUGGACGAAAGUCUGACGGAGCAACGCCGCGUGAGUGAUGACGGCCUUCGGGUUGUAAAGCUCUGUUAAUCGGGACGAAAGGCCUUCUUGCGAAUAGUGAGAAGGAUUGACGGUACCGGAAUAGAAAGCCACGGCUAACUACGUG
RNAcentral lists this ribosomal RNA (510 nucleotides) under uncultured bacterium. RNAcentral describes it as "partial 16S ribosomal RNA". It matches the Rfam family "Bacterial small subunit ribosomal RNA", at positions 28 to 507 of the family's 1533-position model. The record is from RNAcentral.